Molecule: small RNA, 644 nt
Filed under: Cladosporium sp. R973
Lineage: Eukaryota; Fungi; Ascomycota; Dothideomycetes; Cladosporiales; Cladosporiaceae
Description: eukaryotic LSU rRNA
Rfam family: 5.8S ribosomal RNA (bases 133-286)
Source: RNAcentral
GGUUAUUCAUAACCCUUUGUUGUCCGACUCUGUUGCCUCCGGGGCGACCCUGCCUUCGGGCGGGGGCUCCGGGUGGACACUUCAAACUCUUGCGUAACUUUGCAGUCUGAGUAAACUUAAUUAAUAAAUUAAAACUUUUAACAACGGAUCUCUUGGUUCUGGCAUCGAUGAAGAACGCAGCGAAAUGCGAUAAGUAAUGUGAAUUGCAGAAUUCAGUGAAUCAUCGAAUCUUUGAACGCACAUUGCGCCCCCUGGUAUUCCGGGGGGCAUGCCUGUUCGAGCGUCAUUUCACCACUCAAGCCUCGCUUGGUAUUGGGCAACGCGGUCCGCCGCGUGCCUCAAAUCGUCCGGCUGGGUCUUCUGUCCCCUAAGCGUUGUGGAAACUAUUCGCUAAAGGGUGUUCGGGAGGCUACGCCGUAAAACAACCCCAUUUCUAAGGUUGACCUCGGAUCAGGUAGGGAUACCCGCUGAACUUAAGCAUAUCAAUAAGCGGAGGAAAAGAAACCAACAGGGAUUGCUCUAGUAACGGCGAGUGAAGCAGCAAUAGCUCAAAUUUGAAAUCUGGCGUCUUCGACGUCCGAGUUGUAAUUUGUAGAGGAUGCUUCUGAGUGGCCACCGACCUAAGUUCCUUGGAACAGGACGUC